This is a long non-coding RNA of Poecilia latipinna (sailfin molly), 1170 nucleotides long. RefSeq lists it as uncharacterized. The transcript has 4 exons. The record is from RefSeq and is a predicted model, not a curated record. NCBI's taxonomy places the organism in Eukaryota, Metazoa, Chordata, Actinopteri, Cyprinodontiformes, Poeciliidae.
CAAGAAGAAUAAAUCUUCCGGUUGAAUAUGAAGGAAGGUCAACGUGUGUGUCUCGUCUUUCUCAUACUACAGAUUCCCUGUCACUGCUAUUGGGUGUGAAGAUGAAGACAGAAUGCUGACUAACGGUACUGCAACAAAGUAUCAACUUGCAAACGUGUGCAACCAGACAGACUCCGGAUUUACUGGGUCUUCCUGUAAAUGGGACAGGGCAUCUUUUUUCUUGGCCCAGCCAGACUCCAUGUGAGCUACAGCAGGACCUCACCAGGUGAAAACAGGAUACAAGGUCUGCCAUAAUGAGGCAAAAACCUCUUCCUGCUCUUCCUUCCCAAGGCAUUUCUGACAGACUAUGGACUCAAGUCAUCAUCGAUCCAAGGUGGAGUCGCUGUGGUUGCCUGUCAGAACAUCGAAUUGACCUGGCUGCAGCUCACCAGUUCAGUGUCACAACCCCUGUGGCCUCUGUCGCAGCAGGUGCCUUUGCUCAGACGUGAAAGUGAGCCGCAGUGUUAAGGAUACACAGGGAUGUGAUACUGUUGAGGCAAUAGUAGUACAUGGGCGUAUUUGUGUUGCUGACAGUUUCAUACCCUCCAAAUUCAGCAGACCGUAAUGCAUACUGUUGUCCUGACAAAAAAGAUAUACUGUAUGCUCAGAUUGAAUUUAAGCACAUUUUGCUGUCUGUUUGAGGAUAUGAGACCCAGUUCAGAUGUCCAUCCAUCACCUCACUGCGUGACGCGUGGCACAGGUCUUGUGUGUGAUCCUUUUGAACACGGUAUCAAGUGAACACUAACUUGCAGCUGUGGAGAAUGGGGAGACGUGGUGUGGAGAAACGUGCCAGAGUCAUAAUCUGCUGUCUCACUUAGCAAGAAGCGUUCCCUCGUCAGACGGACCUGUUGGGCCAUUUCGGCAGCUUGUAAACACAAGUCGGUCUGCGUGCAAGCUGUCAUUUCAGCUCCAUGCUAUCUGCUUUAUAAGACCUUUGAAAAUGGCAGUGAUGGCUGGAAAAAAAAAAAAGUCAACAAUUGGCACUGUACUGUGCUAUGCUGUGUUGGCAAAAACAAAAGCAACAAGCUGAGAAACAAGAAAAAACAACAGGGGAGUUCUGAAUGAUCUGAAAGGCAGCGUAAACAAGUCCAACUGCACUGAAUUAAAAAUAAAGUUCAACAUAAUCACUGA